Molecule: ribosomal RNA, 433 nt
Filed under: uncultured bacterium
Lineage: Bacteria
Description: partial 16S ribosomal RNA
Rfam family: Bacterial small subunit ribosomal RNA
Source: RNAcentral
AACGAACGCUGGCGGCAUGCCUAACACAUGCAAGUCGAACGAGACCUUCGGGUCUAGUGGCGCACGGGUGCGUAACGCGUGGGAACCUGCCCUUAGGUUCGGAAUAACUCCCCGAAAGGGGUGCUAAUACCGGAUAAUGUCUUCGGACGAAAGAUUUAUCGCCUUUGGAUGGGCCCGCGUUGGAUUAGCUAGUUGGUAGGGUAAAAGCCUACCAAGGCGACGAUCCAUAGCUGGUCUGAGAGGAUGAUCAGCCACACUGGGACUGAGACACGGCCCAGACUCCUACGGGAGGCAGCAGUGGGGAAUAUUGGACAAUGGGCGAAAGCCUGAUCCAGCAAUGCCGCGUGAGUGAUGAAGGCCUUAGGGUUGUAAAGCUCUUUUACCCGGGAUGAUAAUGACAGUACCGGGAGAAUAAGCUCCGGCUAACUCCGUG